GACGAACGCUGGCGGCGGGCUUAACACAUGCAAGUCGAACGGAAAGGCCCUGCUUUUGUGGGGUGCUCGAGUGGCGAACGGGUGAGUAACACGUGAGUAACCUGCCCUUGACUUUGGGAUAACUUCAGGAAACUGGUGCUAAUACCGGAUAGGAGCUCCUGCUGCAUGGUGGGGGUUGGAAAGUUUCGGCGGUUGGGGAUGGACUCGCGGCUUAUCAGCUUGUUGGUGGGGUAGUGGCUUACCAAGGCUUUGACGGGUAGCCGGCCUGAGAGGGUGACCGGACACAUUGGGACUGAGAUACGGCCCAGACUCCUACGGGAGGCAGCAGUGGGGAAUAUUGCACACUCGGCGGCAGCCUGAUGCAGCAACGCCGCGUGCGGGAUGACGGCCUUCGGGUUGUAAACCGCUUUCGCCUGUGACGAAGCGUGAGUGACGGUAAUGGGUAAAGAAGCACCGGCUCACUACGUG
Molecule: ribosomal RNA, 468 nt
Filed under: uncultured bacterium
Lineage: Bacteria
Description: partial 16S ribosomal RNA
Rfam family: Bacterial small subunit ribosomal RNA
Source: RNAcentral